Pelobates cultripes (western spadefoot toad) is the source of this 1226-nucleotide non-coding RNA. The record is from the annotation of a GenBank genome assembly. NCBI's taxonomy places the organism in Eukaryota, Metazoa, Chordata, Amphibia, Anura, Pelobatidae.
CCUGUUUGCACAGCAACUUCAACAUUGUGUUCUGUGAUCACGGCAUAGUUCAGAGGUAGGUAACCUUGGGCAGUCCAGAUGCUGUGAAUUACGUCUCCCAUAAUGCUGGUAAACCAUUAUGGGAGGUGUAGUGCACAACAUCUGGAAUACCGAAUGAGGAUGAAUGCAAAGUAUGGUGUGUGUGAAUGGUCAGUAACAAGGGUUGAAGCCUUGACGUGGCGUUACUGCUCACAUGUGUAUUCAUGUGCCAAUUCAACCAAUGUGAGUCACUGUAAUACUUAUAAGGUAACCAAAAGUACUGUGAUUGUGGAGAAUGAAACGCCUGUAUCACCUAAACACUGCUUACACUGUGACCGUAUUUCCUAAACACUGGUGACACUGUGACCGUAUCUCCUAAACACUCCUAAACACUGGUGACAUUGUGACCGUAUCUCCUAAACACUGGUGACACUGUGACCGUAUCUCUUAUACACUGCUGACACUGUGUCCGUAUCUCCUAUACACUGCUUACACUGUGACCGGAUCUCCUAAACACCGCUGACACUGUGACCGUAUCUCCUAAACACUGCUGACACUGUGACCGUAUCUCCUAUAAAUUGCGACCGUAUCUCCUAUACACUGCUGACACUGUGACCGGAUCUCCUAAACACUGCUGACACUGUGACCGUAUCUCCUAAACACUGCUGACACUGUGACCGUAUUUCCUAUACACUGCGACCGUAUCUCCUAUACACUGCUGACACUGUGAACGUAUCUCCUAAACACUGCUCACACUGUGACCCUAUCGCCUAAACACUGCUUACACUGUGAAUGUUAUUUUUUUCAAGUUAGUUUUAGUGUUUGCGGUUUCAUUGAUUUGUUAACCACUCUCCUCAAUCUUCUGUUCUGUGUUUUCUUACAUUUGUGGGAAGAACAAGGUGAUCCUCUCAAUUUUACACUCCUUUACUGAUGGUUCCAGUGCCAGAGACAAACCCACCACCAUAAACCUCGACCUGCUCAAACAGAAGAGAUUACCUUCUUCUAUAGAAAACGUCCAUAUGGCUGUUUCGGAACACAUGCUGCAGACAUGAUGUAACCUUCAUUUUCCAGUGAUUAAGAAUCGUGGACCGUCCAGGGAAAUAGACCAUUAUAUUAUUAAGAUACUACCUUCCCAAUGCCAUACAGCCUUUCUUUACAUGUGAUUGAACUUUCUCCUUCUUGGAUACCACAGUGUGACUUUUCUUAAC